Molecule: non-coding RNA, 127 nt
Filed under: Numida meleagris (helmeted guineafowl)
Lineage: Eukaryota; Metazoa; Chordata; Aves; Galliformes; Numididae
Source: RNAcentral
UUGUAUUGUGAAAGGAGAGAAGGUUAGCAUUCCCCUUGAUAAGAAUGGAAGAGUGCCUAGUGGCCUGUACAACGUGCAUACGGUGAAGUACUGCCAACUACUUCAUGACAUCUAAGCAUGUUUUUGG